UAUAUACCCGGAGGUGCUCUGAACUGGAAUAUGCACUUGGAAUAUAGACCUUAAUUAUACACCUGGAAUAUACACUUACACACAGCUAUACACACACCUGAGGAGGUGCACUGUCUGCAAGGCAAAGAACAGUGAACCUUCAGAAACCAGUUUGCAGCUGCAGGAUGCAGCUGGAGGUCGAGAUCAGUCCACAUUAAUCCAGCUGUUAAUCAGAGUUAAUGAGCUCAGCUGUUACAUCAUCAACAUGUUGACUGUCAGCAUCCAAUCACAGCUCAGCUCCCGUUCUCCUCAGAGUCCAGAACCAGAACCAGAGAACCAGAACCUCAUCAAAGAGCUGCAGAAAAGUUUUGUGUCAUCUUGGAAAAGUUUCAGUCUCAUCAUGAUGGUGAAUAUAAACACAUUAUCAAUCAAUCAAUCAAUCAAUCAAUAAUCAAUCAGUGAUGACAGAUUUAUUGAUCGAUAAAUUCACUGAUUGUGGAUUCAGCUGUGAACAGAAGCUCAGAGCUCAGGAUGAUUUUUCACAUCAGUUUAAUUCUGCUUCACAUAAAAAGCAUCACAUUCAAACUCACAAUAAAUACAACAAACUGUGCGACUGCGUGUACAAGUACAGCAUGUACGAUGUACUGCGUGUACAAGUACAGCAUGUACGAUGUACUGCGUGUACAAGUACAGCAUGUACGAUGUACUGCGUGUACAAGUACAGCAUGUACGAUGUACUGCGUGUACAAG
Amphiprion ocellaris (clown anemonefish) is the source of this 729-nucleotide long non-coding RNA. RefSeq lists it as uncharacterized. The record is from RefSeq and is a predicted model, not a curated record. The transcript has 3 exons. NCBI's taxonomy places the organism in Eukaryota, Metazoa, Chordata, Actinopteri, Pomacentridae.